UCCAACGAUAUACACUGAGCACUAUAGGCUCAACACAUGGGUCGCUCUCGAUUGGUCAGAGGAAGGGGAAGCCCCUCCCCUCGUUGUUGUAGGCAAUAUUUACAUGUUGAGCCACAAAGUACAGUAAUGAAGACAGGCGACGCGAGCUAUCAUUCACCGUUUAAAGUGGUGCUUUAAGAGAUAUAAUGACCUCGUUCUUCAACUGUUACCCAGGUGGGAACUUUAUGACUUUCACGGCCAAGCACUGUCAGGAUCAGAGAAAGACUGCGGCCCGUCUUACCCCGGAGGCACCCGACUGACGAGAAGCAUUCUGGAUCAUCAUGUCAACACCCGAUUAACCUCGGACAAGGUUCUUUUCAAGUAACAGGCAUGCCGCACUAAUUUCACCAAACAACUCCCUGAACUGGAGAAGGAGUUUCAGUCCCACAAGUACCUGGGCGAAUCUAGAAGAUAUCUCGCUGUGCACCCGAGCGAGACUCAUCUGGUUCCAGAACAGGUCCAUGAAGCAGACGAAUAGAGAGAGAAGGAAGGCCUGCUCCAUCACACUGCUCUCGCUGUCACGAUUCUAGAACUAAAUCAAACCAUCAGUGACAGUUCAUCCGAACCUCAUGGUGUGGAUUUUACUGUCUGAAUGCCCUUAUAGAUUUGCUUAAUGUAAAAAAAAAAAAAAAAAAA
Long non-coding RNA from Pimephales promelas (fathead minnow), 675 nucleotides. RefSeq lists it as uncharacterized. The record is from RefSeq and is a predicted model, not a curated record. NCBI's taxonomy places the organism in Eukaryota, Metazoa, Chordata, Actinopteri, Cypriniformes, Leuciscidae.